Molecule: ribosomal RNA, 488 nt
Filed under: uncultured organism
Description: bacterial SSU rRNA
Rfam family: Bacterial small subunit ribosomal RNA
Source: RNAcentral
AUUGAACGCUGGCGGCAUGCUUUACACAUGCAAGUCGAACGGCAGCACGGGUGCUUGCACCUGGUGGCGAGUGGCGAACGGGUGAGUAAUAUAUCGGAACGUACCCGGAAAUGGGGGAUAACGUAGCGAAAGUUACGCUAAUACCGCAUAUGCCCUGAGGGGGAAAGCGGGGGAUUCGUAAGAACCUCGCGUUUUCGGAGCGGCCGAUAUCGGAUUAGCUAGUAGGUGAGGUAAAGGCUCACCUAGGCGACGAUCCGUAGCUGGUCUGAGAGGACGACCAGCCACACUGGAACUGAGACACGGUCCAGACUCCUACGGGAGGCAGCAGUGGGGAAUUUUGGACAAUGGGCGCAAGCCUGAUCCAGCCAUGCCGCGUGAGUGAAGAAGGCCUUCGGGUUGUAAAGCUCUUUCAGCCGGAAAGAAAACACACAAGUUAAUACCCUGUGUGGAUGACGGUACCGGAAGAAGAAGCACCGGCUAACUACGUG